Long non-coding RNA from Hippocampus comes (tiger tail seahorse), 299 nucleotides. RefSeq lists it as uncharacterized. Lineage: Eukaryota; Metazoa; Chordata; Actinopteri; Syngnathiformes; Syngnathidae. The record is from RefSeq and is a predicted model, not a curated record. The transcript has 3 exons.
CGUGUCCCAACAACACGGCCGACUUUGCCCUGGCGGCGCGCUGCGUCUCCACGCCCUUCGCGCUCAAAGGGGCCGGCGCUGCCGCUUCCCAGGGCGCAGCGGACGUCACGUGCGCCGGCAGAGAGGCCGACGAAAACACUUUCAUGGGACGCUCGCACAAGCUCAGUCCCAUUAUGGAGCAGAGUCCGCCCGACGACAAGUCCUCCGCCGGUCAGCCGGCGUCCUCCUUCGCGGUGCACGCCGGCACCAUCCUGGGCGAGGGACUCGCCGCCCAUCGGCCGAGCGCCUCGUCCGCCGCC